CUGGGAAGGUAAAUUGUAAUUCCGUGGUUUGGGAAAACCACCCGACCAAGAAAACCAUUCACGGAUGAAUGGUUAGGCUUUUCCGGGCAGGACGCCUAUAAAAGCCGGUUCUGGAAAGCACACGCCCAAGCCAAACAAAAAAGAUUUUCUGGUUCGU
RNAcentral lists this non-coding RNA (157 nucleotides) under Vibrio spartinae. The record is from RNAcentral. Lineage: Bacteria; Pseudomonadati; Pseudomonadota; Gammaproteobacteria; Vibrionales; Vibrionaceae.